ACAAGCAACGCACAGACUGCCUUUGAAUCUUUUUCAGUAGCCAUGGUCACCCUCCUUCUUUAUUUAGUGUUAAGUGUUAUUCAUUUAGCAGUAAAAAAAUGAACAAAAGAGAGAAAAGCAGGUGCUCUAAGUUUACUCUACAGCCAGCUGUCAGGAAGACACACUUUACUUAUUUAUUUAUUUAUUUGUUGCGGCACAUAAAGGGGAUUUAUUGAAAGUGUUUGGGGAAAAAAAUAUGAAGCAUACGUUCAAUCAGCCUUUUCUGUAAUCAAUAAGGUUACUGAAGCAGAAAAAACUAUAAUGAGUUGUCACAGAAUUUGAAUUCCCAUUCGGUUCCUUUUAUAUGUAUUCAGGCAGAAAAUCAUCAUGGAAAGUGGAAGUUGGGAAGGAAGGCCUGGCUAUGACUCUUGGGUUGGAUUUGUUUUGAAUUUACCAGGUACCAUUUGACCGACUGAUUGCUGAGUGUCAGGAGACAGGCCUCUAAGAUGGGCAGGAAAACACUUUUUCUCCUCAGCUUGCAGCUCAUGUGUUUCCUAGCCUGGAAUAUUUUGCUAGCUAUUUGGCUCCACGGAUCUCCAGUCUCACUGGAGACCUGCAGAACAACUAUGAUUUAUUUGCAGCAACAGCAGCAAACAACUGCCCCAAAUGCCAAGGAGAAAAUAUUCCCAUCAACAGAAAAUCUGACCUCUGCUUGUCUGAGUGUGUUCCAUCUCCUCUCUUGGUUGAGACAAGGACUCUGCUCGAGCAGACACCUGCUCACAGCAAGGAUUGACUUAUUUAGCUGAAGGGACCCUGAUGUACUUACCAGGGUUUCCCCCUCCUUUGUGUUUGGUUGUUCCUUAAAUGGCAUAAGGUUUUUUGGUGGGGUUUUUUUGUUU
Molecule: long non-coding RNA, 878 nt
Organism: Calidris pugnax (ruff)
Lineage: Eukaryota; Metazoa; Chordata; Aves; Charadriiformes; Scolopacidae
Exons: 3
Source: RefSeq, a predicted model, not a curated record